This 492-nucleotide ribosomal RNA is filed under the name uncultured bacterium. RNAcentral's name for it is "partial 16S ribosomal RNA". It matches the Rfam family "Bacterial small subunit ribosomal RNA", at positions 29 to 507 of the family's 1533-position model. The record is from RNAcentral.
AGUGAACGCUGGCGGUAGGCCUAACACAUGCAAGUCGAACGGCAGCACAGUAAGAGCUUGCUCUUACGGGUGGCGAGUGGCGGACGGGUGAGGAAUACAUCGGAAUCUACUUUUUCGUGGGGGAUAACGUAGGGAAACUUACGCUAAUACCGCAUACGACCUACGGGUGAAAGCAGGGGAUCUUCGGACCUUGCGCGAUUGAAUGAGCCGAUGUCGGAUUAGCUAGUUGGCGGGGUAAAGGCCCACCAAGGCGACGAUCCGUAGCUGGUCUGAGAGGAUGAUCAGCCACACUGGAACUGAGACACGGUCCAGACUCCUACGGGAGGCAGCAGUGGGGAAUAUUGGACAAUGGGCACAAGCCUGAUCCAGCCAUACCGCGUGGGUAAAGAAGGCCUUCGGGUUGUAAAGCCCUUUUGUUGGGAAAGAAAAGCAGCAGGUUAAUACCCCGCUGUUCUGACGGUACCCAAAGAAUAAGCACCGGCUAACUUCGUG